Non-coding RNA from Podarcis lilfordi (Lilford's wall lizard), 1291 nucleotides. NCBI's taxonomy places the organism in Eukaryota, Metazoa, Chordata, Lepidosauria, Squamata, Lacertidae. The record is from the annotation of a GenBank genome assembly.
ACCACAGAGGCCUCGCGAAGAAGGGGCGGCGCGAAGGAGGGCCCGCAGGGCGGCGCGGCCCGAGGACGGCGGGGCUGAGGCGGGUCUGUCAGGGGCGGGAAGAUGGGGGGCAAAGACGGGGCGCGACCCUGUCCGGCCUUGGUUUGUACGCAGUCCCGGAGCAGAAGAGGCCGUCGGUUCCUCAGAGCAUGUGCAGUUCUUGCUUCUUCCCCCAUGCAAGGUGGCAUGGAGGGGAUUCCAGCUCCUCUUUCUUGAAAUCGCCGGCACUUAUUUCCUUCAGGGAAGUUUUUAGUGUGGGAUGUUGUCUUGUUUUCUUACUAUUUUUUUUGUUGGGAUCCGCCCGGAGUGGCUGGGUCAGCCCAGUCAGAUGGGCGGCAUAUAAGUAAUAAAUUAUUCUUAUUAUUAUUUUUAUCAGCAGCCCCGACUCGGCUUUUUUUAAAAAGGUCCCUGCCACUGCCUCUCAGAUUUGCCAUAUCAAAGAGAUAUGGGAUUAUCCAUGUUGUUUACUGUCAGCUCAAUGCCAUAUACAUCCUUACCCCGCCGUAAAACCUAGCGAGUUCGGUAGGUCUUGCGCAAGGGGGAAUCGAUACAGGUUCGCAAUCUUAAUAAGCAUUUUGAACCAUCGACAUCACCCGUGGCUGGCAAAUGCUCCUUAAUCAAACAAUGGAAAUUGUGUAGCACGUUGCAUUGCAUUUUACCUUAAAAAAAAACCAAAAAGGUAUCUGUUUAAGAUUUGUGUUGUAUCCCGCCCCCUACUUUAAAAUAACAGUGUUGUCUUUUUUUUCUUUUUUACGGUUCGUAACACCCUUCUGUUACUGAUAAUAGCUUCAGAUGCCAACACCACUGCCAGUAAGGGAAAACUUGCUUCCAUUAUGGAUUGAGUGGGUUACAGCUGAUCAGCCCUGUUGCUUUGGCCCAGAGGACCUUUGCAGGAACAACUGUUGCCUGGCAAUUGGCAGGUGCCAGCAGGAGAAGCUUGCGUCCAUCAUGGGUUGAAUGAGAUCCAGUUGCUCAGUCCUCUUCCCUUACAUCGGAGAACACCAAUGAAGGCCAAGCUUGAAUGCAGGAAAAGCCACCUGCGUAACCCCGUAGUGGCAUUUCUUAAGUAACAUUUUUAUUGUGAGAAUUGUUUUUUGUAAGCUGCUUGGAGAGCAUCCCAGGGUUAUGAAGUGAGAUAAAAGCAUUAUAAAUACUAUUCCUGGGUGUUUUAUUUGUUUGUUUGUUUUGCUUAAGUAUGAGGUGCAUUUACUGAUAUUAGUAUCCAUGCUUCCAGUUCUUGCUUCUUUAAAGG